This 468-nucleotide ribosomal RNA is filed under the name uncultured bacterium. RNAcentral describes it as "partial 16S ribosomal RNA". It matches the Rfam family "Bacterial small subunit ribosomal RNA", at positions 28 to 507 of the family's 1533-position model. The record is from RNAcentral.
GACGAACGCUGGCGGCGUGCCUAACACAUGCAAGUCGAACGGAAAGGCCCUGCUUAUUUGGGGUGCUCUAGUUGCGAACGGGUGAGUAACACGUGAGUUACCUGCCCCUGACUUUGGGAUAACUUCAUGAAACAUGGGCUAAUACCACAUAGGAGCUCCUGCUGCAGGGUGGGGGUGGGUUGGUUUCGGCGGUUGGGGAUGGACUCGCGGCUUAUCAGCAUGUUGGUGGGGUAGUGGCUGACCAUGGCCUUGCCCGGUAGCCGGCCUGGGAGGGGAAGCGGACCAAUCGGACCUGGAAUGCGGCACAGACCACUCUGGGACGCAACGGAGGGGAGUAUUACACAGUGGGAGGAGGCAUAAUGCGGCAACGCCGCGUGGGGGAUGACGGCAAUGCGGUUGUAAAGCGCUUUCGCCUGUGACGAAGCGUGAGUGACGGUAAUGGGUAAAGAAGCACCGGCUAACUCCGUG